AGCGAACGCUGGCGGUAGGCCUAACACAUGCAAGUCGAACGGCAGCACAGUAAGAGCUUGCUCUUACGGGGGGCGAGUGGCGGACGGGAGAGGAAAACAACGGACCCUACUUUUUCGGGGGGGAUAACGUAGGGAGACUUACGCUAAGAUCGCAUACGAUCUACGGGUGAAAGCAGGGGAUCUUCGGACCUGGCGCGGAUGAAUGAGCCGAUGUCGGUUUAGCUAGUUGGCGGGGUGAUGGCCCACCAAGGCGCCGAUCGGUAGCUGGACUGAGAGGAUGGUCAGCCACACGGGAACUGAGACAGGGUCCAGACUACUACGGGAGGGAGCAGUGGGGUAUAUUGGACAAUGGGGGGAAGCCUUAUCCAGUCAUCGCGAGUGUGUGACGGAGGCCCUCGGGGUGUAAAGCCCUUUUGUGGGGAAAGAAACGCAUCAGGUUGAUACCCCGCUUUAGUGACGGUACCCGAAGAAGAAGCACCGGCUAACUUCGUG
RNAcentral lists this ribosomal RNA (492 nucleotides) under uncultured bacterium. RNAcentral's name for it is "partial 16S ribosomal RNA". It matches the Rfam family "Bacterial small subunit ribosomal RNA", at positions 30 to 507 of the family's 1533-position model. The record is from RNAcentral.